ACACAGUGUACCUUCAUAGCCAACCCAUUUACAUAUCACUACUCCCAUUUUUUCCUUUAGAGAAUGGUUCUCAUAUCUGGAAAGUGAACAGUUGACCUACCGUCUACCGGCCCUGUAGAACUGUAAUAGUUGGCUUGGGAUGGGAAUUGCCGCGCUUCCGUUCUCCAAGAUUAACACAACAGAUGACAUGAGUGGCCUGUCGUUGGGGUUGUCCUGCACACACAAGAGCCCUAUCUGAACGCAAAGCAAAGCUUCAUCUGACUUGGGUAAAACAUAUACCAGUUUGCUCAUACCAUAUUGGAUUUGGAUACUGAAGGUGUUAGGAUCUGUGCAUCAGCUGAGCACUUCAGGGAACUGAAGUUCAUGCGACCCUCAUCUAAUGCACCAGAUUUAUUCUCCAACUGUUACUACUCCAUUUACUGUUUAUAUUGUUAUGCUGAUGUGCAGAUGGUUUAGAUCUACAUACAGAGAAUUAUCGCCGGGUAGUGAAGUUCUGUUUCUGAAUUCUGAUCUGACUAGGGACAUGUUAAGUUCUUUUGCCCAUAUCUAUACCUAAUAAUAAAGGGAGAAGUGUUUCCGCGGUUUGGUCCGUCCUAUUUUCGUCGUUCGUCUAACUUUUCGUCCGUCGCCCGUGUUUUCAGUCGUUAAUUUUCGUUUCCUAGCCGCGUGAGAAUUUGUUACGGAUACGAUCGAUCCGGUCUGUGUCGUAAUCGUAAUACGAAGCGUCCUGGACGCCCACGUCUAGGCGUGAACCGGCCAUCCCAGCAAACCCACGCAACCACGCCUCCUCAACGAUCGGGAUUCAGGAGCAUCCUGAUCUGCUUCCUAUUAUUCCGCCGUGCUUUGGGACUUAGAGGCCCACCCGUGCUUCGAUACAAGUCUGUCGUCUCAACUCUUCCCCGUCCCAAUUGUCUAUCACCCCACCGGCCACCACCCGUCCCUGAUCUCUAAAUCUCCAAUAUAUGUGGAACCUGUGCUGCAAAACAGUGCGCGCAACAUUGGUACGAUCCGAAAAAAACGCGCCUGAUGCAAAGAAGAGGCCCCAUCGGUUAAUCACCCCGGGCAUAACCACCGCUUUUUAUGUUUCUCUCAAGGCAAUGGAAGCGACGUCGCCGGCAGCCGUCGAGAGUAGGGGAACAACGGCAGCAGCCAUCGGGAGUAAGCACGGACAUGCAGCGGCGGCGGCCAUGGGAGUAGCCACGGUCUUGCAAUGGCGGCAAUCAGGAGUAAGGACAGGCAUGCAUCGGCGGCGCGGCCUGGCAAUCGUCGUCGGCGGCCUCAUAGCUUGCCUCGGCGGUGUGGUGUCAGGAUGUCCUGAAGUCGAAGCUACAUCGCGAGCAAAGUCGAAGAUAAUUAACUCGGCUGCCCUGAAGUCGAAGCUACAUCUCGAGCAAAGUCGAGUUGUCCUUUGUAUGUGGCUUAACGUCUGCCUCCUUCAGGUCCUCGACGGAAAGAACUUAUCCGGCAUUAUAAUCGAUGAAUCCAUCUGCUUCUAGCAGUUUUCCAUCUGCCUGUAGGUCCUCAUCGAGCUCUCUCUGGCAACCUAUCCCCAUGGCCAGUCGUUGCGUCAAAGCAGGAGCGAUCUACCCUGGAACGAUCUUGAUGGAGCGUGAGAGAUAAACGAACGAGCGGCAAAAAGAUAUGGAGUGCUUCCCCUUGCCGAUAUCUGCUCCGGUUCUUCAAUUAUUUUUUCCUCUGCCGCGGAGGCUGCACCCAUGCCAGCGAGCUUGGGGUCGCCAGAACCUGGACAGCUUGGGGUUGACGGGCGAACAUGCCGUCACAUGAACCACGUGAUGUAUUUCUACGGACUCCACCUGUUCCCCGCUGCCGCCCGUGCGCUGGAUGGGAGCCAGACUGUCCGCCGCCGAUUGAGCGCGAGGUGGACGGGAUCAGCCGCUGUCUAGAUUUGGCUCAGGUUCUUUAUCAACUACGUCUCUGUGAUGAUCCACAUAAGCUGCUAUCAAUCGAAUCGAUCAGUACUCUGCUUGACACCUUCUUCAGCAGUCAGGUGCAUCUCAAGUAUUUAUCGAAAAAACAGGUGUAUCUUAAGAUUAGGACUGCUGGGUAUGGUUGAAGAUCAGAAAAUUCGCUUUGCAGUAUCUUCUCAAAUUGCACACACAAAUUUCAUUACGGUGGUUCAUGUGCGAUGCAGAUCAAUUGCUGCAAUAUUAUCUGGUGGUGCACAUACAGCAGAGCCGGUCGCUAUCUCAUUUUGGAAUGCUCUUACUUAAUUUAACUUUUGUUUUCUGCUCUUCACUUUGUUAAUUUUCUGUUGGGAAAUGAUUACUAGAUGACCAAGAUCUACAAUGAUAGUGCCACUUCCUUUUGCCAGGAAACCUUGCGUUGAAGUUGAAGGAGACAACGUAUAAGAAACACAUGCAAGUGAAACUCUCGCGGACAUCAUUGGCGCCUUGGCGGCAAUGUCAGCUCUACAAGACUAUCAUGGUGGCUUGAGAGAAGCAGAAACAGGCUGAUACUCUGUAUUUCAGGUUUUAUUGGUCCUUGGGUCCUUCCUGUUUCUAAUUACAGGUGACACACAUCUACUAGGGAAAUAUUGGUGCUACGUACCUGAAUCAACCAAACCAGCAAUCCGAAGAUGCAAAGUCUCGCUACCAGC
Lolium perenne is the source of this 2617-nucleotide non-coding RNA. Lineage: Eukaryota; Viridiplantae; Streptophyta; Magnoliopsida; Poales; Poaceae. The record is from RefSeq and is a predicted model, not a curated record.